RNAcentral lists this ribosomal RNA (200 nucleotides) under uncultured organism. RNAcentral describes it as "partial small subunit ribosomal RNA". It matches the Rfam family "Bacterial small subunit ribosomal RNA", at positions 1182 to 1382 of the family's 1533-position model. The record is from RNAcentral.
ACGUCAAGUCCUCAUGGCCCUUACGGGCUGGGCUACACACGUGCUACAAUGGCGGUGACAAUGGGAUGCGAAGGCGCGAGCCGGAGCCGAUCCCCAAAAGCCGUCUCAGUUCAGAUUGCACUCUGCAACUCGAGUGCAUGAAGGCGGAAUCGCUAGUAAUCGCGGAUCAGCAUGCCGCGGUGAAUACGUUCCCGGGCCUU